This is an RNA transcript of Brienomyrus brachyistius, 1989 nucleotides long. It is a transcript of the gene named 3-oxo-5-alpha-steroid 4-dehydrogenase 1-like, with no coding region annotated. The transcript has 6 exons. NCBI's taxonomy places the organism in Eukaryota, Metazoa, Chordata, Actinopteri, Osteoglossiformes, Mormyridae. The record is from RefSeq and is a predicted model, not a curated record.
CGUAAAUUGACGUUGUUUUGAUGUAAUGUGUGUUGCACGUCAGUGUUUUAAAAUAUUGGUUGCAUAGAUACUUGCCACGCCUAAUCCUGAAUAAAUGACAAACCAACAAAUUUCGAUUGGCUAACGGGGGAUCUUGAAUGGAUCUAUUGGCUGUUUCGUUCCUUCUGCGAGAGUUGGAAGUGAAUAUUUGUCGGAAUUUAUUUACUGAUCCUUCUUGAAUGAAGACUGCAGCAGUUUUGGGUUUUUAUUGCGGCGCUCCGCCUCCUUUACAUCUUCAUAAAAUCUGAUCACUGACAUGCACCGUGCGUUGUGUCCAUAGCUGAACUUGCAUUUGCUGUACUUCACUAGUCAGCCUUCGAGUGACAUGAUGAACCUGCUGCACGGUCUGCUCGUCUCCGAAGCCGAGGAGAUGCGCCUCCUCGACCUGAUGUCCUACGUGAUGCUCCUCAUGGCGGCAGUAACUUUUUUCACUCUGCUUGUCGAGGACUUGCCCUACGGCAGGUACGCCAGCAGAAAGUACGGCUUUCCCGUGGGCGCAAAGUUGGCGUGGUUUGUUCAGGAGAUGCCUGCGCUCCUGAUCCCUCUCUGCUUGUUGCUCGGCACGUCCGGUUCCAAGCUGGGCCAUCUACCCAACCGUUUGCUACUUGUCAUGUACUUCUGCCACUACAUACAAAGGUGUCUCAUUUACCCGUUUUUAAUCCGAGGGGGGAAAGGGACCCCCUUCGUAUCCUUCCUACUCGCCUUUGUUUUCUGCAUGUACAACGGGUAUCUCCAAGUUAGAUACCUGAGCCACUAUGCAGAUUACCCAGCAGGCUGGGUUACACAUCCCGCCUUUGUCUCAGGAUCCAUACUGUGGCUGGUGGGAUUUCUGAUAAACCUACAUUCGGAUCACAUCCUCAGGAAUCUCCGGAAACCCGGGGAGACGGGCUACAAGAUCCCAACCGGAGGCCUCUUUGAGUAUGUGUCGGGGGCCAACUUCCUGGGUGAGAUUGUGGAGUGGGCGGGGUUUGCCUGCGCUGGCUGCUCCAUUCACAGCGCGUCGUUUGCCGUCUUCACCCUUGUGGUGCUGUCCAGCCGGGCCACGGCCCAUCACAGAUGGUACUUGGAAAAAUUUGAAGAUUACCCGAAAGGCAGAAAAGCUUUGGUGCCUUUCCUGUACUGAUGUAUCAAGUAAGAUAUGGGUGAAUAAAUGUGAUUAUAAUGUUAGCAAUAUUUAAAAUACAGUAGAAACCGCUUUUAUGGAUCAAAAACCUUGGGUCAGAAUCCUUCUUGUGCAAGUACUGUUCAAUCACCUAUAAUAAUCAAGUAGUCCGCUUACAGUGUUCAUUCUGGGUAUUUUUAUACAUAUGGAAAAAAAAAAAUUACGGUAAUUCUUUACUUGCCUACUUUGCCUUGUAACCCUCCUGCUUCUGACUACAGCUACCUGAGGCUAAUGAUUCAUGUGCAGAAAACAUGACAGGAAAAAAAAAGUAAUUUUGUCUAAAUUAUGAAUAUCUAUUCACCAAAGUUUAUCAUAAACUGUCAAAGACGAGGCAAAGAGAUGCACUAGUGAAGCUACAAUAAGCUGUAUUUUAUGCAGGCCUACAGAACUGUACUGUACUAUAGCGCAGCAAUUCUCAAACAGGGUCGCUGCAAGUUCAGAAAUUGUUCAUUGAUCGUAAUUCAGGUAAAAUGUUCAAUUAAACAUGAUAUUGUUUUGAGUGUCGCCUCACUCCUGUGAGUUCCUACUUUAUUUCCUUUAUCAUGGAUAAGUUACAAACCUGUAAUGUUUACCAACUUUGAUAAUUCAUAAUCUGUUUUUGGUCAGUUCAUAUAAUUUGGUUGCUUAACUAAAUUACAUGCCCUCUAAGCACUGGAUUGUAUAUACCCUUUUGUACAUCUGAAUACCUUUACUUAAACGAUGCAGAUUACGUGUAUGAUUUCAGUUUGUGUAUCACAUGCUGGUGGCAUUAAUUUUCAAAAUACAAGAAAUAAAGGUUUCUCUGGGAA